Long non-coding RNA from Diachasmimorpha longicaudata, 2773 nucleotides. RefSeq lists it as uncharacterized. The record is from RefSeq and is a predicted model, not a curated record. The transcript is spliced from 3 exons. Lineage: Eukaryota; Metazoa; Arthropoda; Insecta; Hymenoptera; Braconidae.
UGCCAGUCGAUUGUGGAAUACUGUACACACAUUGCUCGUUUCGGUGGAACAGCUGGGCUGCAUGUGACAGCUUUAUGCUGAACGAUUGUUGGAGACUCACGAGACUCUUUAAAUCACUUGAAAUGAUCGAGUGGUUUGAGCUGAAGAGAGAAUAUUUUGUUAAUUAUGGAUUGACAAAAUUGGCAGCAGAUGUUAUGCUCAAUACGAGCGUUGCGUUCCCACUUAAAGAGGAGAUUGAGAAAAGGAUGGAUGGUAUUGGAUGGAAAUUAAUCGAGCCUCGAUGCUUCGAUUACGUGGAGGUACGAUGGAUUCAAGGGAAAAGUUCAGACAGCCGGAAACAGCGUCGAUUUGCUCGUGGCUUUUGUGAAUCGAUCUUCCCUAAUUCCCAACUCCCUCUUCACUCUAUCCCUCUGCCGUUCUUCACUGUACAUUCCUUGGAUCCACUGUUUAUCCCGUUACGACACCUUAGUUAAUUACUAAUAGGGGCGUGAAGAAACGCUAAUGUAACAUUUUGGUGUUCAUUUAUUUCUAUUCCAAAUGUUGAUUAGAAUCAAUUUUUCAAGAUUGCCAGUUUUCGCUCAGACAAAACUAUUAUUAUUCUGAUGUGGGUGAAGAGUCUUCCAUGAGAAAUAAUGAGAAAUAUAAUUAGAAGAGAAAAAUUAUGUGAAAUUCCGGUUCCAUCUUUAGUUAAUUGAAUAGCGGAAAAUAAUGCCCUGAUAAUGAUUGCAAUUGGCCUAGAUGAACAUCGGAGGAUGAAAUUAAAUGUACACAGAAUGGAUGUAUACGUAAUGUCAAUAUACCUCUUUCCGUGUUCCCGUUUGUAUUCGCCGCUGUACUUGGAUCUACUGCCUACGAGCUCUAUUAUCUCGGGUAUGCUACUAGCAAAAAUUGCCUGCAAAUAGAAAUUAUGGAUACUACUUUGACGGUUCUCUACUUCAUAAUAGGAAGUACCAGCUCUUUGGACAGUGUAUUAUCCAGCACCAGAGCUACCAAAUUUCCCUCAAUUUCACGUUGUACUUCCUUUUUAUUUCUUUCAUGAACAUUCCAUACAGCUGCUGAUGAAGUUAUGAGAUAAGUGGAACCUUGUGAGAAUAAUGGAAGAGAAGAGACACGAUGAGUCUUUUGCGAAGUGAGUUGAAUUCGAGAUGAACUUACAUUAGAAAUUAAUAGCAUGGAUGUCUCAAUGGGAAACCUGUGAGGUAUGCCACAGCAUGUCUACUAAGGUUUCUGCAAUUAACUCUACAGAAAGACAAGUUGGAACUGUUGAAACAUUCUCGAGAAUAGUAACCUGUUGUAUAUUAGAACCUGAAGAUUGUGGAAUUUCAAAAAUGUUAUUCUGUAUCAGACUAUAAAAUGAAAUUGCGUUAAGUGUUUUGUGAAAAUAGCAGGUCAGGUAUCGAUUUUUUAAAAUACUCGAAUCGUUAAAUCUAUUUUUCUGAAUUUUUUUAUUUGAAGUGUAUCAUUGAGGAAUAGUUAUAUGGGAAGUUGGCUUUUUUGAAGAUGUUUGUCACCGUUCGACACCUAUUCUGAUUAACAACAGUUGAUUAUACAACAGAUGGACUUGAGAGAGAGAGAGAGAGAGAGAGAAAGACAACUCUUCCAUAAAAAUCUAAAAAAAUCGAUAAAAAAUAGAAACUUCGCAAAUGACUACAUAAGUGACUCCUAUUCUGAAGAACUAUUUACAGGAUCAUGUAUGCCCCCACAACGCACUCUCUAUGUAUCGAACAGAGUAACAGCGAUAUUGUACAAGUUGAGAAGACGAUAGACAGACAGAAAGAGUAUAAAUACAGAAUAUUCUCAGACAGUGUUUGUUAAGCGAUAAAGCAGCGGCUGAAUGUACAGCGAGCAGCAAAUUUACAGUUUAUUCAUGAUUAAAGUGGUUCGUAAAAUUUCAAAUUAUUCAACAUAAAUCAAAUUUCCCGAUUACAACGGGCUAAUAAAAAUUCACAUCCUCCAAAUUAUUUGAUGACUGUGAUUAACGUUUGCGGUUGACUAAGUUGGAUCAGGGGAUUAGAAAGGUCGGCAAAGGUUAUUGAGAUUAGGGAAAGUUGACGUUGAUCAACGAAGCGUCAAGUUUAUCAGCUGAAACGACGUCUGUUACUCACUAAUGAAUCCAUUCAUUUAAAUUGUCUCUCGCACUAUUGAUUAAUGAGAUAUAUUUUUGAGAUUUAUUCGAGAAUUUCACAAGCUGACUUGUCGUCAUACUUGGAAUUUAUACCCAUUAUCCAAGUGACCCGGGAGCGAGUAUUAAUUAAUGAGCAUUGGUGCCAUUAUUAUUUUUUCCACCUUCUUUUUAUUGCUUUAGAUUUUAGUCGACCCACCGGAUUACAAAAAUUCAUCAGCAAUUUAUCGAAGAUUUAAAAUACUAAAUAUUACUCGGUGAAUUUUUCUUUCGAUACUAAGACUAUUAACUCUCUACUCGUGCAUUUUCUGUUCAAUUGUCAUGAUAAAAGUCUAGACUACUUGGAAUUUUUCAGUGAUGAAGUAUAACAAAUGAUAAAUAUAGCUAGGGAGCGAAUUUAAUUGAGGAUGCACGCAUUCUCUUCAUUGAUUAUUGCAUCGAGACGAAAGGAGACGUCGAAUCAAAGACAAAGGACACGCUUCACGAUUGUUUAUUCAUAAUGUAUCUUUGGGUGAAUUAUAAGAUUGGCUUUUUUUUAAUCUAGCGGUGGUGAUCGAUGAUUUGAAGUUUCGUAAGUAAAAAAUGCCAAGACGCAGCGGCGAUAGGUGUUCGAGAGACAGAGUAUUGUAGUACGAACAAUAAAGCCAAAGA